RNAcentral lists this non-coding RNA (28 nucleotides) under Homo sapiens (human). The record is from RNAcentral. Lineage: Eukaryota; Metazoa; Chordata; Mammalia; Primates; Hominidae.
AGGGUUGAAAAAAGCUACUUAUUGGGUA